This 339-nucleotide long non-coding RNA is filed under the name Ailuropoda melanoleuca (giant panda). Its description in RNAcentral is "lncRNA (ENSAMEG00000028451.1)". The record is from RNAcentral. Lineage: Eukaryota; Metazoa; Chordata; Mammalia; Carnivora; Ursidae.
CCGCGAAGUCCUUAUAUUCCCGGGCUUCUUUCUCCUUUGGGUACCAGCUCCUUACUGUCCUGUAGGCGUCCGUGCUUGUGGCCAAGAUAAAGAGGACUUAAAUUCUUAAAUCUCAGAAGGUCCAAGGGUCUGUGUUCACAGACAUCUCGAGGCGAGAAAAGGAGGAAACUAUCCCGAAUCUUCACAGGAGCCCUUAAUUAGGAAUCAUAAACCAUUAUAAGGAGACUCCUGCACAACUCAGCUGAAACAGGAUAAAUGGUGAGUGUGCAUAUUAACAUAGCUUUAUAAUUAUUGUUUUAUGCAUUUGUCUUUUAAGUCAUAUAGGAAAAAGAAGAGGAG